Molecule: long non-coding RNA, 462 nt
Organism: Alosa alosa (allis shad)
Lineage: Eukaryota; Metazoa; Chordata; Actinopteri; Clupeiformes; Clupeidae
Exons: 3
Source: RefSeq, a predicted model, not a curated record
CCAGGUAAUACCGUGGUAACAACUAUCACAAUAACAAUCUUAUUUAUCAAUGCCUGCAGUUUUGGGGAACUACAUCUUGGAAAAUGAGUGUUCAUAUGAAAGAAGGGAGUCUCCAUAUAGAGGCUACAGAUGAGGCCCAUACUUCCUCUGUUAAAGCCCCCCCAAAGAGGAAAGAGGAAAGUACUAUGUGUAGACCGUGGAAAGUACCAUGUGAAACUGCAAGUAAACAAGAACUGCAAGCUUACAUAACGAAGACCCCCUCAGCGUUUAAUCGACGGUUUUUCAGAAGGGGAUGCAUCAUUUGUGGCCAGAGUCAGAAGGAUCCUGUACACAUCCCAUGUGGACAUGUUUUCUGCAGGCAGUGCAUUCUCCCACACCUGGAAACUCAGAGUGCAACUGGAGAGUACACCUGUCCUAACUGCAGACGUAGAUAUUUAACACGUCCAACAUUGCAGGGUGAGA